RNAcentral lists this ribosomal RNA (467 nucleotides) under uncultured bacterium. RNAcentral's name for it is "SSU rRNA". It matches the Rfam family "Bacterial small subunit ribosomal RNA", at positions 26 to 518 of the family's 1533-position model. The record is from RNAcentral.
AGAACGAACGCUGGCGGCAGGCUUAACACAUGCAAGUCGAACGCCCCGCAAGGGGAGUGGCAGACGGGUGAGUAACGCGUGGGAAUCUACCCAGUUCUACGGAAUAACACAGGGAAACUUGUGCUAAUACCGUAUACGCCCUACGGGGGAAAGAUUUAUCGGGAUUGGAUGAGCCCGCGUUGGAUUAGCUAGUUGGUAGGGUAACGGCCUACCAAGGCGACGAUCCGUAGCUGGUCUGAGAGGACGACCAGCCACACUGGGACUGAGACACGGCCCAGACUCCUACGGGAGGCAGCAGUGGGGAAUAUUGGACAAUGGGGGAAACCCUGAUCCAGCGACGCCGCGUGUGUGAAGAAGGCCUGCGGGUUGUAAAGCACUUUUAGUGGGGAUGAAAAGCCUAGGGCUAAUACCCUUGGGUCUUGACCUAACCAAAGAAAAGCACCGGCUAACUCUGUGCCAGCAGCCGC